Molecule: ribosomal RNA, 253 nt
Filed under: uncultured bacterium
Lineage: Bacteria
Description: partial 16S ribosomal RNA
Rfam family: Bacterial small subunit ribosomal RNA
Source: RNAcentral
GACGAAGGUGGCGAGCGUUGUUCGGAAUCACUGGGCUUAAAGAGCACGUAGGCGGCCUAUCAAGUGCUUUGUGAAAUCCCUCGGCUCAACCGAGGAAUCGCUUGGCAAACUGGCAGGCUUGAGGCAGGUAAGGGCGCGCGGAACUCUUGGUGGAGCGGUGAAAUGCGUAGAUAUCAAGAGGAACGCCGGCGGUGAAGACGGCGCGCUAGGCCUGUCCUGACGCUGAGGUGCGAAAGCCAGGGGAGCAAACGGG